GGUAAAAUGCCAAGCACACAGAUUUGAUCCUCCCAUAAGAUAACGGGAGAAAUUAAUUAGGCAAAUCUGAUCCUGAAGACACGAGUUGAAAAGCGCCGUCAUGCAUAUACGAGGAAGAAGAUAAAUGGGGAUAAAUUAUUGGGUGCAGUCAGGGAUGUCAAUCUAGCCCGAAACCCGUGGAUUGGCCCGAUUAACCCGCCACCCAAGAGGAGUAGGGAAAUGAUGCAAAUCAGAGGAAUCGACUCCACUAGCGGAAUAAGUAUGGCAGAGGAAACGCACUCGUCAGAGGAAAUCAUCCUCGCCAGAGGGACCUUACUCACUAAAGGCAUCUUAUACACUAGAGAAGUCACCCUCGCCAGAGAAGUCAUCUUCGCCAGAGAAGUAACUCUCACCAGAGGAGCCGUCUUCAUCAGCGGAAUCGCCAGAGACGCGGGAGAUUUCCCGCGUGAAGGCAAAUUUACCGACAUGCCCCUCUAUCACGCCAAGUGCACGCCUUAGCAUUGAUUUUACCAUUUUGCCCUCUUAUGUAGUCUAUAAAUAGAACCUGAGCUCAUACAUUGUAACUACGCUAUCUCUUAUUUUCGAAUACAACAGCUACUUUUCUCC
Long non-coding RNA from Salvia miltiorrhiza (redroot sage), 606 nucleotides. RefSeq lists it as uncharacterized. The record is from RefSeq and is a predicted model, not a curated record. Lineage: Eukaryota; Viridiplantae; Streptophyta; Magnoliopsida; Lamiales; Lamiaceae. The transcript has 2 exons.